Long non-coding RNA from Cavia porcellus (domestic guinea pig), 684 nucleotides. RefSeq lists it as uncharacterized. The transcript has 4 exons. The record is from RefSeq and is a predicted model, not a curated record. NCBI's taxonomy places the organism in Eukaryota, Metazoa, Chordata, Mammalia, Rodentia, Caviidae.
CCUAAUUCCUGGGAGCUGAAGAAUGAUUCUAGAUUCCACUGAUGUCUUAUCAUGAGAACAGCAGAGACUGCUGUGGCAAAAGAUUUCAGAAAAUCCCACAUCCUUUCGCCAGAUCAGUUGCUGCCCUUGGGGCCUCCUCAGAUGAGAUCAUCUUCUAGAUGUAUGCCCCUUGGAUCCUCCUACCUCUGCUUACCCUGAAUAAGGACUCCACAAUCCAUGAGCCCCCUGAUGCAGAUAUAAAGCAAGGACUUCAGACUCUCCUGAGAGGCCUCCAUUUUGGUUGUUUAACUCCUACAAAAGGAAGGAUACUCAAACUACAACUGAGUGUGGUGGUGCACAUCUAUAAACUCAGCACUCAGAAGCCUGAGGCAGGAGGACCACUCUGGACUACAUAGUGAAGCCCUUUCUCAAAAAUAACAAACAACAGCCCACGCCGCGGGUGCUUAUCAAGAGGGCAGAAGAAGAAGCUGCUCGAGUCCCACCAUGGCCAGAUCUCAGGACCUUUGGUUCUCCUCCUGGCCCAUGCCGCAAGAGCUUACCAAGAGGGCAGCAUUUUGCUAUACAGAGCUGGCCUUGAACUCACAGCAAUCCUGCUUCAACCUCUUGAGUGCUGAGACUAUAGAUGUGCACCACUGUACCCAGCCUUGGUUUCAGCUUCUGAUAGUAGCAAAUCUAUAUUUGAAG